UUAAAAACCAUUUUAUUAUUAAUAUUUAUUUAAUUAAGCGCCCUGAUUUUAAUUGCAAAACAUUUCGUUAUUUUAAUCACAUUUUUUAAAUUUGAUUUCAGUUUUUCUUCAUUUGAUGUGGCAAUUAAACAGAAAAUAAAAAAAACAUAUUUUGUUUAAUUUUAAUGGAAAUUUUCGUCGUAUAAUAUAUCGCAUACCAUUUUCCAAACCAAAAAUAUGUUAUCUUUAAAAUCAUUAAAUUAUUUGUUUAAAUUAAUUUGCUCUUGAUGAAGAUACUUUUUGAGACAUACUGUACGUGCUGCGUAGCCAUUCAUAAUGUCAAAAAGUUCGUCAAGCUUCGUGUGUGGUGAAAGGCGACAAGAAAAGCAAGCAGCCUCAAAUUUAACAGCUUGUAAUUUGUGUAUUAUCAAGCUUAUACAACAGCAUUUAAACUCGGUGGUAGAGUUCCGCCCGCUCCAUCAAAUGUAGAGAAUGACGCUGUCCAAUAUUGUUCCUGCCUCGCGGUCGUGCACUACCGUCAGCACUGCAAUAGCCGCAGCAAAACAUGCGCCCCAUGUCCCACAUUUCCAUCAUCUCGACGGUGCUCAACAGCUGUACGCCUGCCGCCUACAGCCACCGGGAUAGCCUCGCUCUCUAGUGCGAUACUGAUGAACCUGCGGCGCAAGAGCACGUAAGCGUUUGGUGGCGGCGGCUGUGGAAUGAUGGUGCACCUCGGUAAAUAUGGUGCACGAGAAGAAUUCUUCCCGCAAAAGGCAUCCGUUUGGGCACUGAAAUCGAACGACGUCUACGGAGACAGUAACAACAACAACCAUCCGGACAGGAGGUGGAUGUCAGUCGGUUGUAUAAAAACAGCAUCAAGGUGCGCGAAACACGGGCCGUCCAGUACGACACAGGCCUUAUCGGCAGCCUGGAGGCCUUAUCGGAGUCCCGCCUUAUGUCCCGCCGUAGGAUCCAACCAAUAUGAUGGAUAUUUUUAUAACAAAUACAAAUUUCAUUAAUUUAUUUCAUGAAAUAAUGAAAAA
Anopheles gambiae (African malaria mosquito) is the source of this 1022-nucleotide long non-coding RNA. RefSeq lists it as uncharacterized. The record is from RefSeq and is a predicted model, not a curated record. The transcript has 2 exons. Lineage: Eukaryota; Metazoa; Arthropoda; Insecta; Diptera; Culicidae.